This 253-nucleotide ribosomal RNA is filed under the name uncultured bacterium. RNAcentral describes it as "partial 16S ribosomal RNA". It matches the Rfam family "Bacterial small subunit ribosomal RNA", at positions 524 to 776 of the family's 1533-position model. The record is from RNAcentral.
UACGUAGGGUGCAGGCGUUAAUCGGAAUUACUGGGCGUAAAGCGUGCGCAGGCGGUUUGCUAAGACAGGUGUGAAAUCCCCGGGCUUAACCUGGGAACUGCGCUUGUAACUGGCAAGCUUGAGUGUGGCAGAGGGGGGUGGAAUUCCACGUGUAGCAGUGAAAUGCGUAGAGAUGUGGAGGAACACCGAUGGCGAAGGCAGCCCCCUGGGCUAACACUGACGCUCAUGCACGAAAGCGUGGGGAGCGAACAGG